UUUCGUUUUAUUUAUCACUGGAGGAAGAGCAAUGCCAUAAUAAACAGUGCUGGGAGAUUUCCAGCAGAACAGGUUUUUGUCAGAGGAUGCUGAUUUGUCGUAAGCAAAAUAUUUCGCAGAAGCACAUCUGUUUGGGUGAACUUCCGCUGCAGCCCAGGCAGGUUUCCAUCACUGUCCUGCCUGACUUCCGGCCAGCCUGCCUGGCCGCUCUCCAGGCUCCGGGACGGCUCGGGACUAAACCUGGGAUUCUUUCUGAUUCCUUGUUUUGUUUUGUUUUUUUUUCCCCUCUCUUUUGAAACGAGAGGUAAAAGGUCUUGGAAGAAAUAUAAACCAGCCCUGCAUGCCUUUUUCCAAUUGUUCAGCAUUCGUUUUGUGGGGGUUUUUUUAAUAAUGAUGACAUUGCACAGCACAUCUUGAUUUGUUACAUGGGAGAGCCAGAAUAGCUUUCCUCCCUGAUGAAGGUUAAGCUGCCCUGGAAAUGAAACAGUUUUCAUGCCAUGUUGAGCUUCAUUUCAGAGCAUUUCCUGGAGAACUGGUGCCAGUAUCUUCUCCUCCUCCCUAUUUUCUAAACACUUAAUUGCAUCGCAGUCCCUCUGAAACAGCAGUGCCUUUCUGCUCUGUCUCCUUCACUUGCUUCUCCCAGCCUGGUCUCUAAUUCAGAGACUGCAUCUACCUCUCAUAUGACUUCUGGACACUUGCAGUUGCUGGUCAUCAUGGUUGACAACAGGUGGUUUCCUGGGACCUCGGGCACCAGAUUUACUCUAGAAAUCCACCUCAGUGGCCGGCUGCUUGUGUAUUAGCUCUGCUGCUGCUUCCUGCUUUAUCUGCCCCAUUUUUAUUGGAUACUUCCUUGCACUUCAGCCUGCACCCGCUGGGUGGUUGUUUGGGGUUUUUCUUUACAGUGGGGUUAUCUGCAAGCAGAACCCUGUGCAGAAGUGUGCCCAGGAUCUUAGGCUUCAUAGAUGAAGCAAAUUCUCUUCCACCUCUGAGCUCAGGUUACAGGCAUUCAGCUUUAUCUGCCUUUGUACUCCAGGCUCAACACUUCUUUCUUUCAACUCUCCUAUAGUUGUUGCUUUUUUUCUUUUUUCUUUUUUUCCCUUCAGACCAUAAGUUUCAUCAGUAUCUGUGUACUUGGAUUAACUUGGCCUUGAAAAGCAGCUGACUAAGAAGCAUUUGGUCAAAAUCGAGAAGAUCUGAUUUUCAGAAGAAAAAAAAAAAAGUCCAGCUAACAAAAUCCCUCGAAGAGAAUAUCCUGUUGUACACUGAGGUGCCCUGGCUGUCAGUGCUUAGAAGCUGACCAAAGCGGACAGAGCUGCCCACCUGUGCCACAUUUCUGUUGCCAGCAGAACGUGAACCACUAUGAAAUGAUACAUGGGUGAGUACCACCAAACCUGGUGCUACUGAGUAGUACUGGGGAAAAAAAAAUAAAGGAGGGAAAAAAAAGGAAAAAAAAAAAAAAAGAAGAAGAAGAGUGGAGUGCUGGCCUGCAUGCCUAGCCAACGCACUACCUGCAUGCUUUGUGUUGCCCUUUUUGCCCUCCUGCAAGCUUAGUUUCAUCCUCUAUAACAGAGAGCCCUACAGCUGUUAUAGAUCUGCUGUGGAAAAAGCCUGCUCACUCUGUGUGCCCUGAGGAACAAUUUGGGGAACUCAGGUAUGAGCUCCAUUCAGACAAGAGUUUAUUUUGUACUAACAGAAGUCAAAAGAAAACAAAGCCUCCUGAAUAAAUGCAUUUCCGUAGUAGCUGUUAAGUAUAUUAAAGUCAUUCCAAAGUAAUUGCUAAUUAUAUUACUUUAUUACAAGGCACAAUUAAAUAUGUGCUUGAGGUCAUCCAGCUAUUUGCUGUUUCAAGGAAAGCACUUGAGUCAAAAGGAUUUCCUAAAUGGAGUCAUUCAGUGUUUUAUUUCUCCGACUUCAGGAAUUAUUCUAGAUAUGAAUAAUUGGACAUUGAAUAAUCAGUGAAAUACUAUUUCCAUAAAUUGUUUGUG
This is a long non-coding RNA of Gallus gallus (chicken), 1985 nucleotides long. The record is from Ensembl. Lineage: Eukaryota; Metazoa; Chordata; Aves; Galliformes; Phasianidae.